GGGGAAAUACCAGAGCGGCCAAAUGGGGCAGACUGUAAAUCUGCUGGGAAACCUACGGUGGUUCGAAUCCACCUUUCCCCA
This 81-nucleotide transfer RNA is filed under the name Bacteroidia bacterium. It matches the Rfam family "tRNA". Rfam says of the family: Transfer RNA (tRNA) molecules are approximately 80 nucleotides in length. Lineage: Bacteria; Pseudomonadati; Bacteroidota; Bacteroidia. The record is from Rfam by way of RNAcentral.